UUAGCUGAGAGGUCGGUGCAUGGCCGUCGUCAGUUCGUACUGUGAAGCAUCCUGUUAAGUCAGGCAACGAGCGAGACCCACGCCCACAGUUGCCAGCGUACUCUCUGGAGUGACGGGUACACUGUGGGGACCGCCGCUGCUAAAGCGGAGGAAGGAAUGGGCAACGGUAGGUCAGUAUGCCCCGAAUAUCCCGGGCUACACGCGAGCUACAAUGGUUGGUACAAUGGGUAUCUACCCCGAAAGGGGACGGGAAUCUCCUAAAACCAAUCUUAGUUCGGAUUGAGGGCUGCAACUCGCCCUCAUGAAGCUGGAAUCCGUAGUAAUCGCGUUUCAACAGAACGCGGUGAAUACGUCCCUGCUCCUU
This 364-nucleotide ribosomal RNA is filed under the name uncultured Methanosaeta sp. RNAcentral's name for it is "bacterial SSU rRNA". It matches the Rfam family "Archaeal small subunit ribosomal RNA", at positions 976 to 1338 of the family's 1478-position model. The record is from RNAcentral. Lineage: Archaea; Methanobacteriati; Methanobacteriota; Methanomicrobia; Methanotrichales; Methanotrichaceae.